Molecule: long non-coding RNA, 411 nt
Filed under: Numida meleagris (helmeted guineafowl)
Lineage: Eukaryota; Metazoa; Chordata; Aves; Galliformes; Numididae
Description: lncRNA (ENSNMEG00000010837.1)
Source: RNAcentral
CUUUCUUGGUGCGCAUGGAUUUUACUGAACCAUUGCAAAUAAAAUAUAUUUACACCUAUAGUUCUUGAACAGAUCUGCUUCAGACUUUGUUUUUAAGCUGUAUCCUUCCACUCUAAAGUAAUGCAAUUCUUUCUCUUUCUAGCGCCAAGGUCACAGUCGAAAGAUGUCUCCGAUGAAGAUUUGGCUGUGCAAAUGAGCAAGCUGCUUGUGAAGAAAGUUCUACCUGAAACAGCUUGAAACAAUUCAUGUGAGGAAUAUAACUCUUUGUCAUGAUCACUCUGCUAAUGAUGUGUUUAAUGAGAUCAGUCAGAAAAAGAUUGCAGAGGAGGUGUUUAGAAAGAGAAACACAACGCUGUCCUGACCCGCUCUAUUAAAUGACCCUGGAAGAAGAAUGAUUUCAUAUAGGGCUCU